GGCCCCUGCUGAGCGCCCCUUCCUCCAUCCUCACCCCAGGAAGAAACAGCUUGACUCCUGGCUCUCACCUGGCUGUCCUGCACCUGGCCUCUAGUCUGUCCAACCCCGCCCUGUGUCCCCUGCAGGCGGGCUGUGCAGUCGGGAAACCUUGCACAACUGGCCCAAAAGAGGAAGCCCAGAAAGGGCUGAAGUAAACACUUGCAAAACCAACCGGCUUCCCUGCCUUCUGUGGAACUAUUAUUUGGCCCCAAGUCCCUUUGUCUUUAAUAUACGGGGACUACAAAGAUGGGUCUGUGAGCCAGGGGACGCUCCUGAGACAGCCAAGCAGGGCCGUCCUUGCGCCUCGGUGCAAACAGCGCUGCGGGCGCUCACGUCUGCGCGCUGCGUGGGAGCGCAGGCCAGGGCUGAUACCACUUCCUCCCCAGGCGGGGACCUGAGCCGCCGAGCGCGGCAGACAGCAGAGCCGGGCCCACCGCGUCCCCGCCGGCCGCCGCCCCGCGCCCCGCGCCCCGCGCCCCGCUGCGUCCCCGCGCGUCCUGCACGGCCGUCAAGGUAAGCUGCACCCGCCGCGCGGACCUUGGAGCGCAGACCGCCUCUGGCGGUCCCCAUACCCGGUGUCCUGCCCGGGGGUCCCAGGCUGCCGACCGCGUGGACCCGCCCCUCGCUUGGCCCUCGUGGUCUGCGUGUCCCCCGGCUCCCCUCUGAACUUGACCCAGCUCUCCGAAAUUGGGUUGGAACUUGAGCUGGCCUUCCCCGCGUUGUUUCAUCAGAUUUGACACAUUUCCUGCCCAGGAAAUUGUUACAAGGUCCAACAGGGAACUGAUCAGAGCUUUCGUGAGUCCCUAGGUCCAGGACCCCCAACCUGAGGGAAUCUGGAGAAAUUCUUGGGGGUGAGGUGGGCAUUUUAGAGCACUAUGGGUUAAACACAAGUCGGGUGAGAAUUAGAGUGUCCAUCGCAGUCAGAUACAUCUUAAAGUGUUUCUUUUCUUUAAAACUUUCAGACAACUGUUGCUUCUUUAAAACAAACAAAAAACUUUACCUCUAAAAUAUUCUCCCUUUUAUUUUAAAA
Molecule: long non-coding RNA, 1069 nt
Filed under: Castor canadensis (American beaver)
Lineage: Eukaryota; Metazoa; Chordata; Mammalia; Rodentia; Castoridae
Description: lncRNA (ENSCCNG00000011637.1)
Source: RNAcentral